This 104-nucleotide small nucleolar RNA is filed under the name Olea europaea subsp. europaea. Lineage: Eukaryota; Viridiplantae; Streptophyta; Magnoliopsida; Lamiales; Oleaceae. The record is from RNAcentral.
GGUGUUAGCUGUGAUGAUAAGCUUUAAUCCCAGCUCAUUAUGAGACCUUCUUUGUGUAAGGUCUGGGAAAAUACUCCAUCUCACGUCUUUCUGAGCUUCACACC